UACCGAGGGGGCAAGCGUUGUUCGGAAUUACUGGGCGUAAAGGGCGCGUAGGUGGCCUUCUAAGUUGAACGUGAAAUCCCUGGGCUCAACCCAGGAACUGCGUCCAAGACUGGGAGGCUUGAAUCCGGGAGAGGGAUGCGGAAUUCCAGGUGUAGCGGUGAAAUGCGUAGAUAUCUGGAGGAACACCGGUGGCGAAGGCGGCAUCCUGGACCGGUAUUGACACUGAGGCGCGAAAGCCAGGGGAGCAAACGGG
This 253-nucleotide ribosomal RNA is filed under the name uncultured bacterium. RNAcentral describes it as "partial 16S ribosomal RNA". It matches the Rfam family "Bacterial small subunit ribosomal RNA", at positions 524 to 776 of the family's 1533-position model. The record is from RNAcentral.